AAGAGAUAUGAUGAUGUUUAACCCAUUAUUUCUGCAGUUAAAGUGAUGAUUACUUACAUGCACUACCAUCUGAUCUCUU
This is a small nucleolar RNA of Vigna unguiculata (cowpea), 79 nucleotides long. The record is from RefSeq and is a predicted model, not a curated record. NCBI's taxonomy places the organism in Eukaryota, Viridiplantae, Streptophyta, Magnoliopsida, Fabales, Fabaceae.